This 2906-nucleotide ribosomal RNA is filed under the name Salmonella enterica subsp. enterica. RNAcentral describes it as "23S ribosomal RNA". It matches the Rfam family "Bacterial large subunit ribosomal RNA". Lineage: Bacteria; Pseudomonadati; Pseudomonadota; Gammaproteobacteria; Enterobacterales; Enterobacteriaceae. RNAcentral also lists the same sequence under 1 other name. The record is from RNAcentral.
GGUUAAGCGACUAAGCGUACACGGUGGAUGCCCUGGCAGUCAGAGGCGAUGAAGGACGUGCUAAUCUGCGAUAAGCGCCGGUAAGGUGAUAUGAACCGUUAUAACCGGCGAUUUCCGAAUGGGGAAACCCAGUGUGAUUCGUCACACUAUCAUUAACUGAAUCCAUAGGUUAAUGAGGCGAACCGGGGGAACUGAAACAUCUAAGUACCCCGAGGAAAAGAAAUCAACCGAGAUUCCCCCAGUAGCGGCGAGCGAACGGGGAGGAGCCCAGAGCCUGAAUCAGCAUGUGUGUUAGUGGAAGCGUCUGGAAAGGCGCGCGAUACAGGGUGACAGCCCCGUACACAAAAGCGCAUGUGCUGUGAGCUCGAUGAGUAGGGCGGGACACGUGGUAUCCUGUCUGAAUAUGGGGGGACCAUCCUCCAAGGCUAAAUACUCCUGACUGACCGAUAGUGAACCAGUACCGUGAGGGAAAGGCGAAAAGAACCCCGGCGAGGGGAGUGAAAAAGAACCUGAAACCGUGUACGUACAAGCAGUGGGAGCACCCUUUGGGGUGUGACUGCGUACCUUUUGUAUAAUGGGUCAGCGACUUAUAUUCUGUAGCAAGGUUAACCGUAUAGGGGAGCCGCAGGGAAACCGAGUCUUAACCGGGCGUUAAGUUGCAGGGUAUAGACCCGAAACCCGGUGAUCUAGCCAUGGGCAGGUUGAAGGUUGGGUAACACUAACUGGAGGACCGAACCGACUAAUGUUGAAAAAUUAGCGGAUGACCUGUGGCUGGGGGUGAAAGGCCAAUCAAACCGGGAGAUAGCUGGUUCUCCCCGAAAGCUAUUUAGGUAGCGCCUCGUGAAUUCAUCUCCGGGGGUAGAGCACUGUUUCGGCUAGGGGGCCAUCCCGGCUUACCAACCCGAUGCAAACUGCGAAUACCGGAGAAUGUUAUCACGGGAGACACACGGCGGGUGCUAACGUCCGUCGUGAAGAGGGAAACAACCCAGACCGCCAGCUAAGGUCCCAAAGUCAUGGUUAAGUGGGAAACGAUGUGGGAAGGCCCAGACAGCCAGGAUGUUGGCUUAGAAGCAGCCAUCAUUUAAAGAAAGCGUAAUAGCUCACUGGUCGAGUCGGCCUGCGCGGAAGAUGUAACGGGGCUAAACCAUGCACCGAAGCUGCGGCAGCGACGCUGAUGCGUUGUUGGGUAGGGGAGCGUUCUGUAAGCCUGCGAAGGUGGCCUGUGAGGGUUGCUGGAGGUAUCAGAAGUGCGAAUGCUGACAUAAGUAACGAUAAAGCGGGUGAAAAGCCCGCUCGCCGGAAGACCAAGGGUUCCUGUCCAACGUUAAUCGGGGCAGGGUGAGUCGACCCCUAAGGCGAGGCCGAAAGGCGUAGUCGAUGGGAAACGGGUUAAUAUUCCCGUACUUGGUGUUACUGCGAAGGGGGGACGGAGAAGGCUAUGUUGGCCGGGCGACGGUUGUCCCGGUUUAAGCGUGUAGGUGUGUGUUCCAGGUAAAUCCGGUUCACUUUAACACUGAGGCGUGAUGACGAGGCACUACGGUGCUGAAGCAACAAAUGCCCUGCUUCCAGGAAAAGCCUCUAAGCAUCAGGUAACAUCAAAUCGUACCCCAAACCGACACAGGUGGUCAGGUAGAGAAUACCAAGGCGCUUGAGAGAACUCGGGUGAAGGAACUAGGCAAAAUGGUGCCGUAACUUCGGGAGAAGGCACGCUGACACGUAGGUGAAGUGAUUUACUCACGGAGCUGAAGUCAGUCGAAGAUACCAGCUGGCUGCAACUGUUUAUUAAAAACACAGCACUGUGCAAACACGAAAGUGGACGUAUACGGUGUGACGCCUGCCCGGUGCCGGAAGGUUAAUUGAUGGGGUCAGCGCAAGCGAAGCUCCUGAUCGAAGCCCCGGUAAACGGCGGCCGUAACUAUAACGGUCCUAAGGUAGCGAAAUUCCUUGUCGGGUAAGUUCCGACCUGCACGAAUGGCGUAAUGAUGGCCAGGCUGUCUCCACCCGAGACUCAGUGAAAUUGAACUCGCUGUGAAGAUGCAGUGUACCCGCGGCAAGACGGAAAGACCCCGUGAACCUUUACUAUAGCUUGACACUGAACAUUGAGCCUUGAUGUGUAGGAUAGGUGGGAGGCUUUGAAGUGUGGACGCCAGUCUGCAUGGAGCCGACCUUGAAAUACCACCCUUUAAUGUUUGAUGUUCUAACGUGGACCCGUAAUCCGGGUUGCGGACAGUGUCUGGUGGGUAGUUUGACUGGGGCGGUCUCCUCCUAAAGAGUAACGGAGGAGCACGAAGGUUGGCUAAUCCUGGUCGGACAUCAGGAGGUUAGUGCAAUGGCAUAAGCCAGCUUGACUGCGAGCGUGACGGCGCGAGCAGGUGCGAAAGCAGGUCAUAGUGAUCCGGUGGUUCUGAAUGGAAGGGCCAUCGCUCAACGGAUAAAAGGUACUCCGGGGAUAACAGGCUGAUACCGCCCAAGAGUUCAUAUCGACGGCGGUGUUUGGCACCUCGAUGUCGGCUCAUCACAUCCUGGGGCUGAAGUAGGUCCCAAGGGUAUGGCUGUUCGCCAUUUAAAGUGGUACGCGAGCUGGGUUUAGAACGUCGUGAGACAGUUCGGUCCCUAUCUGCCGUGGGCGCUGGAGAACUGAGGGGGGCUGCUCCUAGUACGAGAGGACCGGAGUGGACGCAUCACUGGUGUUCGGGUUGUCAUGCCAAUGGCACUGCCCGGUAGCUAAAUGCGGAAGAGAUAAGUGCUGAAAGCAUCUAAGCACGAAACUUGCCCCGAGAUGAGUUCUCCCUGAGACUUAGAGUCUCCUGAAGGAACGUUGAAGACGACGACGUUGAUAGGCCGGGUGUGUAAGCGCAGCGAUGCGUUGAGCUAACCGGUACUAAUGAACCGUGAGGCUUAACCUU